AUAACGACUCUCGGCAACGGAUAUCUCGGCUCUCGCAUCGAUGAAGAACGCAGCAAAAUGCGAUACUUGGUGUGAAUUGCAGAAUCCCGUGAAUCAUCGAGUUUUUGAACGCAAGUUGCGCCUGAAGCCAUCCGGCCGAGGGCACGUCUGCCUGGGUGUCACGU
Molecule: ribosomal RNA, 164 nt
Filed under: Acalypha lanceolata
Lineage: Eukaryota; Viridiplantae; Streptophyta; Magnoliopsida; Malpighiales; Euphorbiaceae
Description: 5.8S ribosomal RNA
Rfam family: 5.8S ribosomal RNA
About the family: 5.8S ribosomal RNA (5.8S rRNA) is a component of the large subunit of the eukaryotic ribosome. It is transcribed by RNA polymerase I as part of the 45S precursor that also contains 18S and 28S rRNA.
Source: RNAcentral